Chinchilla lanigera (long-tailed chinchilla) is the source of this 694-nucleotide long non-coding RNA. RefSeq lists it as uncharacterized. The transcript is spliced from 2 exons. NCBI's taxonomy places the organism in Eukaryota, Metazoa, Chordata, Mammalia, Rodentia, Chinchillidae. The record is from RefSeq and is a predicted model, not a curated record.
CUGGCGCUGGGCGAGCGGGGUUGGAGGCUCCCACCUGCGCUAAGUGUUCUGUGCCGGGGAGGAGAUGAGGGGGCGCUCGACGGGUGGAAGGGGGCCAGUUCGGAAACUGGCAGGUGAGACUGGGGAAACUAGUCUGAGACAAGUCCCUCCUCCCAUGCCUCCUCAUCCGCCCCCUUGCUGAGGGCUUUGGCUUUUGCAUAAUGGUUCCUGAGCAGAUGACGGUGGCCUUCCCGGAGGGCAGUCCCCAGCAACUAUCUUCCCCGCCUGCCUGCCUGCCUGCCUGCCUGCCUGCCUGCCUGCCUGUCUUCCCGGGACGAUCUGGCCACACACAUGAUGCCGGCUGUGAACUGCAAUGGCUGGGUUGGGAGAUCACCCACGUUGGUAGCGUCUGGGCCCCGAUCCUUCUGCUCCAAGGACAAGUCCGCUUUCCCUGAGCUUGAGAACCUGGAGACCCACCGAGCGUGAGCGUGGGGCCUCAUCUGCAGGGCUGUUAGAACAGCAGCUGCUUUCAGACAACUCCAGUCUAAUUGAAAAACCCGACCUAGGGGCCUCGCAUGCUCCCCACCCACUGGUGUGUUUUUGGGAGCACAUGGCCACCUCCUGCUUCCUCCGUUCCCCUUCCUAAUGAACUUCUAUUUUCUGUUACACCCUGUUACUCUCAUUCAGACAAUAAAGUGGACCAAUAUGAACUAAU